This 251-nucleotide ribosomal RNA is filed under the name uncultured bacterium. Its description in RNAcentral is "partial 16S ribosomal RNA". It matches the Rfam family "Bacterial small subunit ribosomal RNA", at positions 525 to 775 of the family's 1533-position model. RNAcentral also lists the same sequence under 1 other name. The record is from RNAcentral.
ACGUAUGGUGCAAGCGUUAUCCGGAUUUACUGGGUGUAAAGGGAGCGCAGGCGGAAGGCUAAGUCUGAUGUGAAAGCCCGGGGCUCAACCCCGGUACUGCAUUGGAAACUGGUCAUCUAGAGUGUCGGAGGGGUAAGUGGAAUUCCUAGUGUAGCGGUGAAAUGCGUAGAUAUUAGGAGGAACACCAGUGGCGAAGGCGGCUUACUGGACGAUAACUGACGCUGAGGCUCGAAAGCGUGGGGAGCAAACAG